This 355-nucleotide long non-coding RNA is filed under the name Vigna radiata. RNAcentral's name for it is "long non-coding RNA (VRAD_LNC012417)". Lineage: Eukaryota; Viridiplantae; Streptophyta; Magnoliopsida; Fabales; Fabaceae. The record is from RNAcentral.
CGAGGAGGAGAGGAACAAACCCUUGAAAGUUUCAUCUCACGUUUCCACUUCGGAGCAUUCCCUCUUCGUUACUUUGAUGCCACAGUCGGCGCCCUCUUCGUUCUCCAAUUUUGGUUUCUCGAGCAACAGUGCUUCGAUCAUUCGUCGUUUGUGCCGCCAGUGCAUUCAGUCGUUGCCACUACAAUCAGUUGUCAGUCCUCCCUCGUCUGCUUCUGCUAUGUUCUUUUGUUUCAGUUUGACCUCUAUCUUCGAUGUUUCCUUCCUGGUCACUUUCUUCAGUCGUUGGUCGAUAACAGCUACACAAAAUCGUGCUUCCAGAAUCUGGCUAAGUUAUAAGCUAUAAUUCCAGAGUUCA